GAUGAAAAUGAAACAUGGAAUCCAAUUAAAUGUAUACUGUAUAUUCUACAUUAUACACACAACACAUCAUGCUUCCACUACCUGUGGUGCUGGGGAUGUGCUAACAAGUGAAAUGUAAUUUCGUACUGAAGUGUAUAAUUGUAUUUUAUAUGUAAUUAUAGGUAUAAUGAUGUCUAGCUAUAAAGAUCACAUGGCUUAUAUUUCCAAGCUAGGAUAUAUUCUGUAACUUUCUGGUGUCAGUCAGACUAGCAUAAAUUAACGUUUCCCUCCAAUAAAUCAAGGAUGAGGGUGCAUGAAUGAACUGAAAUUUAAUGAAGAAAUGGUUCUAAAAAUAUUCUGCACUAGUUAAGCCAGUGUGCACACAGCAUCCAGGUUAGUGUAGCACUUGUGUGGUCUGAGGUAUGUAUUAGUCAUAUCAUGUGUGAUGUUGAAUUUCCUGUAUUUUUGCUCAAGGUCCUGAAUCCAGAACUUGCUUAGGCCAAUCUCUGUUCAGAAAAACACUGAAACAGGAGCUCAACUUUAAACAUGCUUAAGUCCCAUUGUUUAAAAGCAAGCAGCUUGUUAGCAAAGCAGUGCCUUCUUGAAUUGGACACAAAAUUGGUGGGAGUGUAGCAGAUUCAGCACAUCUUGGGAGCUGAGCAGCAAGUUGAAGAAUGGAUCUCUAUUGAAGAACUGAUCAGGGUAAAUUUUAUGCUGGGCUGAGUAGGCAAGAUGGGUAAAAAUGGGUAAGAAGCUUUCUGAGUUGAGUGAGUGCACUAGUGCAGUAUCUUCUAUGAUUCUCAGAGGGCUUGGAGUUCUGCUGGAUUGAUGUGCCAAACAUACCUUCAUAGGGGGUAUGAUCCUCUAGCCAGGUGUAUAGCUUAAUACAUUCUCUUGUUGUAGGUACUGUAUAGAAGCCUAUGAUACAUAAAGAAGUCCCUCCCCUCAGCAGUCUCAGAAGGUUGCUGCAGUCAACAGUAAAUGCUAACCUGGGAUCAUAAGUGGCAGCUGGCAGUAGUCUGGAGUACCCUGAGCUGUAGGUCCCUUUCUGUGCAAGAUGCACCAUUCUUUGCUUCCCAUUAUAAAUAUCCAUGUAAACACUGUACUUCAGAAGGCAGCAUAACAAGUUUCAUGUGUGUUGGGAUUAAAUUAUAAUGAAAUGACAAGCUAUAGAUUCAUGUUGCCUCUGAACAGCACAUAAACAGUUGUUAUGUUAUAAAUCAGCUGAUGCUGACCACGUUAUUCAAGGGAGUUGCUUAUUUUUUUAGGGAGACCAGUCAAUCUGAUUCUUAGAAUAUCUUCUAAAUGGGAAACAUGUCACCUCAGAUAAAAGUGUAUAAACCAAAGAAAGUUUUGAGAGCUAUCUUAAGAAAUAAUUUAAAAAAUAUUCAAUAAACAUGGCCAUAUAAUGUCUAAACUAGACAAACAGGUUGUAGACACCAAAGAAGAAAGGAAAGGAAGGCAGAAAGAAGGCAAUAAUAGACAGCACUUUUUUUCCC
This is a long non-coding RNA of Gavialis gangeticus (Gharial), 1478 nucleotides long. RefSeq lists it as uncharacterized. The transcript has 2 exons. The record is from RefSeq and is a predicted model, not a curated record. Lineage: Eukaryota; Metazoa; Chordata; Crocodylia; Gavialidae.